GACGAACGCUGGCGGCGUGCCUAAUACAUGCAAGUUGAGCGCUGAAGGUUGGUCCUUGUACCAACUGGAUGAGCAGCGAACGGGUGAGUAACGCGUGGGGAAUCUGCCUUUGAGCGGGGGACAACAUUUGGAAACGAAUGCUAAUACCGCAUAAAAACUUUAAACACAAGUUUUAAGUUUGAAAGAUGCAAUUGCAUCACUCAAAGAUGAUCCCGCGUUGUAUUAGCUAGUUGGUGAGGUAAAGGCUCACCAAGGCGAUGAUACAUAGCCGACCUGAGAGGGUGAUCGGCCACAUUGGGACUGAGACACGGCCCAAACGCCUUCGGGAGGCGGCAGUAGGGAAUCUUCGGCAAUGGACGAAAGUCUGACCGAGCAACGCCGCGUGAGUGAAGAAGGUUUUCGGAUCGUAAAACUCUGUUGGUAGAGAAGAACGUUGGUGAGAGUGGAAAGCUCAUCAAGUGACGGUAACUACCCAGAAAGGGACGGCUAACUACGUG
RNAcentral lists this ribosomal RNA (497 nucleotides) under uncultured bacterium. Its description in RNAcentral is "partial 16S ribosomal RNA". It matches the Rfam family "Bacterial small subunit ribosomal RNA", at positions 28 to 507 of the family's 1533-position model. The record is from RNAcentral.